Molecule: long non-coding RNA, 647 nt
Organism: Salvia miltiorrhiza (redroot sage)
Lineage: Eukaryota; Viridiplantae; Streptophyta; Magnoliopsida; Lamiales; Lamiaceae
Exons: 3
Source: RefSeq, a predicted model, not a curated record
AAUUUUCUGUUAUUUGGAGGUUGAUUUUUGAAACUAUUGAUUUAUCUCACCUCUUUCUCCUCAUAGCCGAUGAUAGAUCAGCUUUCUUUUUCUCCCUUUCUACUUUCUAUGGUUUCUCUCUUUUGAAAUUCUACUCCAAGAAAUCAAAUCUUCUUCAAAUGAUCGCUGCAAAGUCAGAUCAAAAUCAACCCACUUGAGAAAGCCAUUGCAGCAACAAAACCAAAGGUUGAUAAAAACCGACCCUGUUGCGCUAGCGUUUCGCGUUCUUUCUAUAUGAUCUGAGGCGGUGCUUCUUAAAAUGGCCAAGUUUUGCUUGGCUAACAAAUGUUGUAGCCUUAUUGCUCCAUAUUAGCAAUAGGAACUGUUAUAGUAUUUGAUUAAUGUUAUUGAGUUCUUGGCAAAAUCUUUUACCUUUUGAUGUUGAUUGUGAGUAAAUUGUCUUGUAUUUUUCACUAGAUCGGAUUUGUUACUCUAGGAUUAGGACUUGGGUUAUUGCCUCUAGCCUUUAGGUUUUUUAAGGAUUUGUUACUUUGUGUUAUACAAAGAUUGUUAUUUUCGGUUUCUGGUUUUCGACGGCUGCCCUCACGGUCCGCUUGUCUUUGCUCAUAUCGAAUUUAUUUGUUGUAACACUUUUCAUCUGUUUAUUG